UGGGGAAUAUUGCACAAUGGGCGCAAGCCUGAUGCAGCCAUGCCGCGUGUGUGAAGAAGGCCUUCGGGUUGUAAAGCACUUUCAGCGGGGAGGAAGGCGUUAAGGUUAAUAACCUUGGCGAUUGACGUUACCCGCCGAAGAAGCACCGGCUAACUCCGUGCCAGCAGCCGCGGUAAUACGGAGGGUGCAAGCGUUAAUCGGAAUUACUGGGCGUAAAGCGCACGCAGGCGGUUUGUUAAGUAAGAUGUGAAAUCCUCGGGCUCAACCUGGGGACUGCAUCUGAUACUGGCAAGCUUGAGUCUCGUAGAGGGGGGUAGAAUUCCAGGUGUAGCGGUGAAAGGCGUAGAGAUCUGGAGGAAUACCGGUGGCGAAGGCGGCCCCCUGGACGAAGUAUGACGCUCAGGUGCGAAAGCGUGGGGAGCAAACAGG
RNAcentral lists this ribosomal RNA (429 nucleotides) under Chloroflexota bacterium. RNAcentral describes it as "Chloroflexi bacterium partial 16S ribosomal RNA". It matches the Rfam family "Bacterial small subunit ribosomal RNA", at positions 355 to 776 of the family's 1533-position model. The record is from RNAcentral. Lineage: Bacteria; Bacillati; Chloroflexota.